RNAcentral lists this ribosomal RNA (373 nucleotides) under uncultured organism. RNAcentral's name for it is "bacterial SSU rRNA". It matches the Rfam family "Bacterial small subunit ribosomal RNA", at positions 526 to 896 of the family's 1533-position model. The record is from RNAcentral.
CGUAGGGUGCGAGCGUUAAUCGGAAUUACUGGGCGUAAAGCGUGCGCAGGCGGUUUAGUAAGACAGGCGUGAAAUCCCCGGGCUCAACCUGGGAACUGCGCUUGUGACUGCUAAGCUAGAGUACGGCAGAGGGGGGUGGAAUUCCACGUGUAGCAGUGAAAUGCGUAGAGAUGUGGAGGAACACCAAUGGCGAAGGCAGCCCCCUGGGUCGAUACUGACGCUCAUGCACGAAAGCGUGGGUAGCAAACAGGAUUAGAUACCCUGGUAGUCCACGCCCUAAACGAUGUCAACUAGGUAGUUGGGAGGGUAAAACCUUUUAGUACCGGAGCCAACGCGUGAAGUUGACCGCCUGGGGAGUACGGCCGCAAGGUUA